UAGGGAAUCUUCGGCAAUGGGGGGAACCCUGACCGAGCAACGCCGCGUGAGUGAAGAAGGUUUUCGGAUCGUAAAGCUCUGUUGUUAAGGAAGAACGAGUGUGAGAAUGGAAAGUUCAUGCUGUGACGGUACUUAACCAGAAAGGGACGGCUAACUACGUGCCAGCAGCCGCGGUAAUACGUAGGUCCCGAGCGUUGUCCGGAUUUAUUGGGCGUAAAGCGAGCGCAGGCGGUCAAUUAAGUCUGAUGUGAAGCCCCCGGCUCAACCGGGGAGGGUCAUUGGAAACUGGUUGACUUGAGUGCAGAAGAGGAGAGUGGAAUUCCAUGAGUAACGGUGAAAUGCGUAGAUAUAUGGAGGAACACCAGUGGCGAAGGCGACUCUCUGGUCUGUAACUGACGCUGAGGCUCGAAAGCGUGGGUAGCAAACAGG
RNAcentral lists this ribosomal RNA (429 nucleotides) under Bacteroidota bacterium. RNAcentral describes it as "Bacteroidetes bacterium partial 16S ribosomal RNA". It matches the Rfam family "Bacterial small subunit ribosomal RNA", at positions 355 to 776 of the family's 1533-position model. Lineage: Bacteria; Pseudomonadati; Bacteroidota. The record is from RNAcentral.